Non-coding RNA from Sus scrofa (pig), 1670 nucleotides. NCBI's taxonomy places the organism in Eukaryota, Metazoa, Chordata, Mammalia, Artiodactyla, Suidae. The record is from RefSeq and is a predicted model, not a curated record.
UUUUUUUUUUUCCUGGAAGAACCUUCAUCUAACUGACAGAAUUUCAGAGUGGGAACGGACACGAGGGUCUCUCUCAGAGGCCUGAAGAUGUUCUUCAACAUCUGCAAGUGACAAGGAGGCCACCCUGCUCUUUGUAGGAUGACAAAAAGUCUGCCGACAAGUCUGGAUUCUACCACCUGAAGUCAAGGAGACAGGUGCCUUCCAAAUGACCCCCCUCCUAUCACCAUAUCUCUAUCCCACCACAUGUGCUAGGCUUUCCACGUCGGUCUGUUCCAGGUUGUGAGCUUCUACCUUGGCUGGGCCAAGCAGACUCCGUACCAUGACUGGAAUUCCAGAUCCUGAAGUGUCAUUAUUGUCAAACUAAAAUCAUGUUAGCUGCCUUGGUGGCUUUAACACACUGUGGACUCACUGAGGUUUGUAAUACAUUAAGCUGUGUUUCCCAGCCCCUGCCUUCUCUGGGGCUUUUCUACUUGUCCCCAUUCGAUGGGUCCCUAUCAAGAUCUUUCUGAAUCCCCGUCAUCGUAGUCAUUUAAUGAGAUGUGAAACCACUGUUAGUAAAAUCUAGCUUACCUCUCAUCACCAUGUCAAUUUGGUUUUCCAAAGAGGAGGUGGAUGUGGGGUGAGGGGGUGUGGGGUUUCUCCCUUAAUUUCCCCUUUAUUUUUCCAAACGAGUUAUGGGGAGGAGAAGGCCACCCAAACUAUUUCUUUGUUUUCCACCUUCCAUGGAUAAAAUAUUUACCAUUCCCCACUCUGAAGAAGAAUUUAGAUCUUUCUUCCAAGUCUCCAGGAAACUCUCCCAGACCCAGCACAUCCCGAUGCGAAAGCUAAGUUAGUGAUCUUCUGAUCCACCUCCAGAUACUUGGUCUCCUUCUCCUAACUGCUCAAGCUCCAAGGGAACAAUGAAACAUUUAAGCUCUGUCCCUGCCCAAGCCCAGGAAACAGACACGUUUCUCUAAACAGGUAUUAAUGCCAUUCUGAACAUCUGGUUCUCUCCCUAGCUUUUCCAACCUCAGCAAAACUAGAAAAAGCCCCAGGGUGCUCUAAGGCGAUACAUCAUACACUUAUUUAUGUGAUCAACAAACAUCCACGGAGGAUCAGUCUAGGUUAUCAGAGAGCAGGGGCAGAGCAUUCCUGGAAGGUGAAGUCUGAGGAAGAUUUUAAAUUCAGAUGAGAUUAAAGAAAAGUCAAGAGUCUGGCUUCAUGUACAAACGCAGUAUUUUACAACUUUAAAAUUCAAGUGAGAUCAAAGAAAAAUCUAGAUUGUGGCCUCAGGUGUCUAAGGAGAAGGGCAGAACCACAGGCCAUUCUAAUCAAAGGCCUCUAUAGGUGGAGUCCCACAGGUGGGAUCUGCCGCUUAGUUUCCUAGAUACGAGUUUGUGAAAUAGCCUCGAGGGCCAAUAUUUAGAACACAACCAUUUAGAUAAAGUUAAAUGAGGAAAGAAGAGGAGAAAUGAGAAGAUCAUUUGGAGUGUUACAUACAUUUAUGCAACCUGAGAUAAAAAGCCAUAUUAUUGAAGCACAUACUUCCUUAUUUCAAAAGUGUCGGCUGCCUUCCUUUUCUGACUGCCCUCUGAGUUCACCUCACUGUCCAGUUUGGCUCUUCGGCUCCUCCAUCAUCAGUAUAAAUGAAUGAAAUUCUCUCUGACCUUGACUUGAAGAUGCUUCUCUUU